UCUUUCUUCGUCCCCAGGAAGCCAGUUUUCUCUGGGGUUCAGGGAGGCGGAGGACCAAGAGGGGCCCAGAGUCCCUCAGAUGCUGCUUCUUCCAUCCUGACGCUGCCUUUACCUCCUGGCUCAGCUGAACACCCAUCAGAGCCUAGCGCGGGGUGUGGGGCUGCUGCUCCUGGAGUCUGGACAGCCCUCCAGUCGCCCCACUCCAUGGCUCCCAUCCUUACAGAAUGGUGCAGAAGACGCUGCGGUUGCUGUGGUAACCACCUUCCACACGGGCUGUGAUCCUAGUCGCCAUGGCUGUCACCUUCUGCCCACUGUGGGCUGCAGAGGGCCCUCGGAGAGAGCUUUCCAGGAUACAUUCUCGGUUGUUUGAGAUCUGCUGAAAGAUGGUCUUGCUGGUCUUGCCCUGGAAGAUGAUGUUCUCCUGCACCAGGGCCUUGGCGCGGCCCCGCACUGCAAUGCCAUAGGCCCGGAAUGAAUGGAUCCGGUUCUUUAUCACCUGGAAGAGACAGUCAGUCUGUCAUACCUCAGGGACUGUGGGGAGCCAGAUACCGUUGCCCCGGAGCUCCACCUUGCACUGGGCCUCGACCUUGACCCCACUCUGGCGGUUGCAGGAGAUGCUGUUGUUGGUCACGCGGGUGAGCUGGCCGCUCUGGGCCACGGUGAUACCUCUGUCCCCGUUAGCGUGGAUCACAUUGGUGACGACGUGCAGCGCCUCACUGCUCUGGACGUAGAGGCCUGAGGCUAUGGGGUGGAAAGGGUUGGGGAGUAGUCAGGAAAAACUUUCGUGGAACUGUGCACCCCAGGAGAGAAGUGGGGAAGAAGAGGCAGCGACACUCAGAACCAGCCCCUGGGAGUUACACAUCUUUUAAGACGGCUGACAAACUGAGCAGGAGGAAAGCCAGGAACAAGGAAGUGCUGUUCCUUCUGAACAAAGUGCUUAGGAAACAGAAAAGUGAUGCCAGACUCCUUGGGCUCAGCUGCUCGUGCCACCCAGGCUCUCCUCCUGUGCUCGCGCACCUCCCAGGUCACCAUCCUCCUGCUAUUUGCACCUCCUGCGACGGGGUGCUCACUACCUGUUAAAGCUGCCCAUUCCACCUCCACAGAGUUGGAAUCUGCCUCCUGAUUGUUUUGGGACAUACUCUUCAUAAGGGAAAUUCUGUAAUUUUUGAAUACAAAAAUUUAUAAGCUAAAUAUCUAAAAUAUAUUAGAAUUUUGAAAAGAAAAUGGUAUCUGGGAUUGUAUAUGCUUAGAGACACUACAACGCUUUUAGAAAAGCAGCAUAAAAAUCAGCAGGCUUAGAGCCACAUGACUUGGUCAGGAAGAGACAGUGUGGCAGGGGGACCCGGGGGUGAAGAGGACAAUGACUCCCCAGUGGUGACAUGCACCCAGCAUGAGAGCAAGAGGCACUGGCAGUGCUGGGAUGGAGGGGGUGUGCAGAGGCCAACAGUGGUCCUAGGGGAGCCAGGAGUCUGCAAGUUCCAGCCACCUGCCUGCCACUUCUCCUGUCCUGAUGGAGAAGAGCAAAUAUAAAUCAAGUCUCUGUGAAUUUAUGUGACUUUGCCUGUCCCUCAGGGCCAUACGGGGAAAACCCUGAGCUGGGAGGGGACAGAACUCGUUUUCUGCUGGCUCCCACUCUCCCUGCCCUCUGCUGUUCCCAGGGCAGGAGCCUCCGUCGGGAGCCCUGGCCUUGGAUCAACUCUGUACAUUCCCACCACUCCCCCUCGUCUCAAUUCAAUAAACAAUGAAUGAAUGUUAGUUUUUAUCCAGUUUAAGAUAACUGGAUAACCCUUAUUCUCUGUAUAACAAAAAAAAAUUGCCAGUUAAACCAUGAUAUGCCAUCAAUAGCAAAUGCAUGUCCUUAGAUGUUAAGAUGUGGACAAAGUGUCCUAGAAUGAGUUAGAAACAUGUAUGUGGGGUAUGGGACUCGGUGGGGCACCGACAGUGACAGCGAUGAGGUUCAGCUCCUUGCCUCAUGUUCAGAGCCUAUCAGAGCUGACAAAACAGCCACAGAAAACAGCUCCCGUCCCAGGGCCCCCAGUAAGUGAGAGGGUAAGGAUGGAGGGCACAUUCACAGUGGGCUUUGAACUUCAAGUUGUUUGGGCUGUGUAGAUGGGGGAAAGGGAAUUUCAGGCAACAGAAAUAGCAAGAGCUAGGCAGGACUGGAGGUCAGGAAAGAAUGGAUUUACAUUCAGGAAAGAAUGUAAAUCCAGAGGUCUGGGGUAUCAGGUGAAAGGCCAAAAAAGCGAGAAGGGUACCUACGGCAGUGUGAGCACGGAAGGCUCUGGAGCAGGGACACACUCACCUCCAUUGUGGUUAAUACUGUUUGACUCAACGAGAGCUAUGGUGACAGGCCGGCGCAGCGGGUCGUCAUCCUUCUCCAGCUCCGGCUCCCAAAGGAUGGCAUCUCCGUCCUCACUGAAGUUCUCCUGGGCUCCAUGACCUCCAGGGAACUCACCAGAACCAUCUUUUUGGCUAAACACUGCCACUCCAUACAGGCCAUUGUAGCUGACGUGGUUACUGGUGACGUGGGGCAGGCUGGACGACAUCAUCCACACACCACAGCCCUUAUUAGCUGGGACAGGAAAAGGAGCUGGUCACGGGCCCUGAGCAGUGGGGGAGGCAGCCCCAGUGUCUCCCCAAGAGGGGAAGCAAAGAUGGCACCGGCCUUGGAGACAGAGGCUCUGGUAAGCUAAUGGCCUUGGGUAAGUCACUCUAUGGCUGGAGGCUUCUCCUUCAUAUAAGAGGGUAACAAUCAGGUCAGUCUCACAACCAGAAUCAUCCCAUAGGGUGUAAAAGUGCUCUGGGAACAGUGAAGGCCCCACUUCCAGGUCAGAAGCACACAAGCCCAGAGGGACAGUGCCAAAGGGACCUCAGAGUUCAUCCAGCGCAACCCCAUCCUGCAGAGAGAUGGAGGUGGCCUCUGAGUCCUAGCCCUACCACUUCCUAGCUACGUGACCUUGAGCAGAUUAUAGACUCUCCGUGUCUCAGUUUUCUUAUCUGUACAAUGACCGUAUCUACCUCAGAAGGCAGUCAGGAGGUUUGAAUAUGAUAGUGCAUAUAAAGCACCUAGCAAAGAACACAUGUCAGCUAUUAUUAUUAGAGCUGCAGUCCAGAGGGUAAGGCUUUGCUCGAAGUCACACAUGAGUGAGAACAGUCUCCUUUCUAGGGCUAUCCUAGUUCUUCUUCUAUUAGAUUUCUAGUUCUUUGGAUCAGAAGAAAGGUAAGAGUUAGAUGCCCAUGCGUCAGAGCCUCAAUGGCCCUGUCCUCACACAACUCCCACCUUCUGCUAUUUUAAAUGGGGAUGAAGCUCUCUGUUUUGCUGACCCCUUGGGUUACAAGGAGAUUUAGUAGUGGCUUUUGUAUUCUGAGAGGGGCUGUGUGGCUGUGGCCUGAGACUGACACUGUCCUUCAGGGCGUAUUUGCGGCCCAGGGACAGGCAGUGACUUUCUCCGCACUCACCAGCUAGAGACGGAACCUGGGCUCCCUGCCUCCCUGGCUGGGCUGGACCCCAGACCCCUUCCCCCAGGAAUGGGCGCCUCACCAUAGAUGGUGUUUCCUUCUAUUAGCCCUUUGCCUUCAUCCCCCACAACCACGCCAUCGGAGUAGCCAAAACAGAUGAGGUUGCUCCUGAGGACCGGGACUCCUCCACGGCGGAUGUCUACACCUCCCCAUUGGUUCUCACGGAUGACAUUUUCUACGGAAAGGCAAAGGAGAGGAUCAAGACCCAAGGGCCACCCACAGUGGCCAUGAGGAUUGGACAGCUUGGAAAGGACCUUCUGGACCAGGACACCCAGGCUGCACCCUGUCAACAGCACCCUGAAUCUUGCCUGGUGCUUGACUUUGCAGGGACUGGAGUGCUGUCCGCUCUCCUCCAGGGCAAGGUCUGUAUGUACCCUGUGCUCUCGUGUCUCUAGGACCCACUCUAUCCAGUGGCCUUCGGGACCGACUAAGAAUAGACUGGCCUUGAAGUUCCGGGCCCAAGGCCAGGUAGGGCCGCCUGUAGUGGUGGCUGUUCCUGGAGGGCGGGGGCAGAAUCCAGCCACUUCCCUCUGGUCAGGAGAGGACUGACUGCAGCCUUGCUCCCCUCUCCUCAUCCACCACCUCUGUGGGAGUGGGCUGAAGAGGCCCAAGCUGAGCCCAGGGCUAUGGCUGGACAGACCGCAAUGGCCCUAGAGACCCCGUGUGCCCAGUUCCUUCCUGCCUCUUUGACCCCAUCUCACCCCUUGCCCCACUUCACCACACCCAGUCACAGGAGUGACGUCCCUGCUCCCAGGCAUGCCAGCUGCGUUCCACAGGCAGCUCCGCACAGAAUUCCGGUUCUCUGCCCAGGCUUUGUCCCGUCACUCAGGUCUGGCUUGCAUGUCCCCUUCUCGGAAAGGCCUGCCCUGACCACACAAUCUUAAAUAUACCCACAUAGUUCCUCUAUUACCUUAUUUUAAUUAAUUUC
Long non-coding RNA from Canis lupus familiaris (dog), 4447 nucleotides. RefSeq lists it as uncharacterized. The transcript is spliced from 3 exons. Lineage: Eukaryota; Metazoa; Chordata; Mammalia; Carnivora; Canidae. The record is from RefSeq and is a predicted model, not a curated record.